CCAUUUGAUUCUGUUUAGAAGAUAGCCACCGACUCCGAAGGGAAAGCUUCAGUGGCUGAUGGAGCUGUGACCUUUUGAGCAGGGUACAUUUGGAGCACAGAGCCGGGCAUAUAAUAUACAAGACAGCACAGGGUGAAGGCAGAGAGAGCGGUACCCCAGGACAGACCUCG
Molecule: small RNA, 170 nt
Filed under: Mus musculus (house mouse)
Lineage: Eukaryota; Metazoa; Chordata; Mammalia; Rodentia; Muridae
Description: partial Mus_sgms1_232
Source: RNAcentral